Molecule: ribosomal RNA, 467 nt
Filed under: uncultured bacterium
Lineage: Bacteria
Description: bacterial SSU rRNA
Rfam family: Bacterial small subunit ribosomal RNA
Source: RNAcentral
UAAGGAAUAUUGGGCAAUGGAGGGAACUCUGACCCAGCCAUGCCGCGUGCAGGAUGAAGGCGUUAUGCGUUGUAAACUGCUUUUUAUAUAGGAAGAAAUAGUCCUUGCGAGGAAAGUUGACGGUACUAUAUGAAUAAGCACCGGCUAACUCCGUGCCAGCAGCCGCGGUAAUACGGAGGGUGCAAGCGUUGUCCGGAUUUAUUGGGUUUAAAGGGUGCGUAGGCGGUUUAUUAAGUCAGUGGUGAAAGACGGUCGCUCAACGAUUGCAGUGCCAUUGAUACUGGUAGACUUGAGUAUGAUUGAGGUAGCUGGAAUGGAUAGUGUAGCGGUGAAAUGCAUAGAUAUUAUCCAGAACACCAAUUGCGUAGGCAAGUUACUAAGUCAUAACUGACGCUGAGGCACGAAAGUGUGGGUAUCAAACAGGAUUAGAUACCCCGGUAGUCCCUGAGCGGGCUGGCAAGGCGCAU